This 744-nucleotide long non-coding RNA is filed under the name Anser brachyrhynchus (Pink-footed goose). Its description in RNAcentral is "lncRNA (ENSABRG00000015618.1)". Lineage: Eukaryota; Metazoa; Chordata; Aves; Anseriformes; Anatidae. The record is from RNAcentral.
AAGACAGUUGUUCCAAGGGAGUGGAGUCCAUAGUGUAUAAUUACAAGUCCCUCAGCCAAGGGCAGAUGCUUGAACUAUUUCAGUGCUUUUAUUACUCUCUAGAAUACAGCCAGUGAAAUACUGCUAGUAUACAAGGCUGCAAUUGCCUCUCUUGUUUUCCCUUCUCUUUUUUUUUUUUUUUUCCUUUUGUUCGUCUCCUGGACAGGCAGGGAGAAGGCAAUGCUUUUUCCCUGGAAAUAGCUCAGCAACAGUAUCCUUCAGUGAAAGGAAUUUUCACCUCUGGAAAGUUAACACCAUUUUAAUCCCAGGGCCACGGUUUCAAAAGGUCUUAAAAAACAUAGCAACAAUGCAUUCCAACACUUCCCUCUGAUUAUGAGAAAGCACCCUGCCCUCCAAGCCUAGGAUUCCCAGCAAUUAUUUGAGGAAUGGCUACAUUCUCAGUAAUCCUUCUACAGUGACAGAAGAUGAUCAAAUAAGAGGUUAGCUGGGAGCUGGAAACUGCAUUCAGUUUCCAGCACUGACAAAGUCUUCCUGUAUGACCCUGGGUAAGUCACGCAAUCUGUUUAACACUCAGUUCCUCAUCUGUGCUUUGAGUAUGUCAAAAAAUGAAGUAUUUUUAUUUGUGUGUUUCUCUCCCUGAAAAAGUAUCUCUAAUGCCACAUCUGCUGAGUGCAUCCUGAUCCACAGCACAUUCAUUAAUAUUUUCUCUGUGAAUCACACAAUAAAAGUCAGUCUGAGUAACCA